This is a long non-coding RNA of Ctenopharyngodon idella (grass carp), 2028 nucleotides long. RefSeq lists it as uncharacterized. The transcript is spliced from 3 exons. The record is from RefSeq and is a predicted model, not a curated record. NCBI's taxonomy places the organism in Eukaryota, Metazoa, Chordata, Actinopteri, Cypriniformes, Xenocyprididae.
CCACGCGACAUGUGCUGCUAAUUAACUUUCUUCUCUCUCAUAUCAUCAGUAAUGGACAGUAUUGUUUUAGAAAGCGAAGUUAAGUUUAACUACAUUCAUAUUGUUCGUUCAUCGUUGUUAAUUUUUUUAAUGAAUUAUAAUUAUUAAUUUAUCAGCGGAUAGCGUCGACAGAACGGCUGAUGAUUGAAUCACUCUUUUGAAUCAGUUCAUUUCAAUCAGUUCAUCAUACGGCAAGCAUCAUAGUAAACGGUCUGACUCGGUUUGCGAUUCGUUUUUAAUAAUUCAGACAGCUCUCAAACUCAUACUCAGAAUUGUUUGCAGCGGUUUAAAACGCCAAAAAGAACAGGAUUCAUGCAACAAAACGAGCAGUUGAAUGAAGCGGAAUCUUUAAAAUGGAAAAUGCAAUCGUAUCCUGUCGUUUGCGACGAAGAUGGCCUACACGUGCAGCAUACCAACACCUCAGUACAACAGGUUGCACUGGCUGGAGAAAUCCAUACUGUCUGUAUUUGCUGAUACAGAUGAGGAUCCUUGAAGUAAAAUUUGAUCUGAAUUUGAUCCGAAACUUAUGAAGAUUUACAGGACAAUCCUGCUGCCUACGCCGAUAGUUUUAAUGUCAUUGUGCCCUUGAACUCCAAGCUGAACUUCCGUUUCCUCAAGGUACAACUGUUGGCGUUGGCGUUGUGUUCGGACCUCUCUGGCAGUGUGUGGCUGUGCGUGUUCAGGUAGAAUUCCUCAGAUUAUGCGAAUCAAACCUCAUUGACCGUGAAUAAAUAGGUGACAAUACUUUGUUUAAGGUUUAAAUACUCCCAUUUGAUUAGAUGAUUCAUCCAUGUAAAAUUACUGUAAUGAUGGGGCAGGGUCAGAGGGAAUUUUCUGGAAUUAUAAUUGUUUAAUUCCUGCAUCGGGUCAAUCUGAGAUUUGUUCAAAAAGCAGAGGGCUCUGGUUUAAAGCAUCUGUUACCAACACUUGGAUUAAGGUAUUAUUCUCAAAUCAGUGCUUGUGGCCUCAUUAGUAGAUCAGGUAAGGUGUUGAAGCUUGCCCUUUGCUUUGAAUAACACUUUACUCCUGGGAGGCAUGAACUUAUUGCUCUGUGAAGUGCUUCACUCACAAUAAUUAAGAAAAGAUCAUUCAGUUUAUAUUGGAUACAUAAUGAGCAACGUUCACUGUUAGAAAUAUUGUCUUGUCUGAUUAAUUGUGAGCACACUGUUAAUUAAAUAAAGCAAAGAAAUGUACUCUGCAUAGGAUUUAGAAUUUUCUGGGUUACAGUCACAUACGAGUCAACCUGACCUAAAAAUUUAAAAUACUAGUGAUAUAUAAGAUUGAACUUGUUCAUGUACGUGCAUUUUACGUGUUCACACAAAUUAUAAUAAGACAUCUGGACACAGAUGUGAAAAUAUAGGUCUAAGGUAAUGGGAAAAAAUCUGUGUACAGAAAGCAGUGCAUUUAUUUGUCUUUUUUUUUUUUUUUUUUUUGUGUAAAUGAACAUUUUUUUUUGUUUCAAGGCUUGUGCUAGUCAGCUAUGUGUUCCUAUUGCUUUUACUCUUGUUACUCUGCUGUUACUAAGCAACCAUCUGCAAGAGAGCUACUGUCACUAGACGUGAAUCUUAAUAGUGUUUAUUAUAGAACUUUUUUUUUUUUUUUUUCAAGGUCGUAAAUAAGCAUUUACAUUUCUGCAUUUUUAAAGUGUGAACAAAAGUUCUUGGCAGGAGGGCCAGAACUAAAAGAGGAAGUGUGUAAAGAAGAACUGUAAGAGGCAGAAAUACACAGCUCAGUAAUGUAGUCAGCCGCAAUGUUAGGCAACCCAUGUGCAGUGUUGGAUAAUUACUUCAAAAGAGUAAUUAAUUACUAAUUACAUCAUCAAUGUUGUAUUUAAAAUACUUUUCUAAUUACUCUGUCUGAAAAGUAAUUUAAUUACUCAAUAAGUAAUUCAACUAAUUACUUCUUAAAAUCCCUAUAAACCUUGAUUGGAUAGACUAUAGAAAGGAAACAGUACAACCAAAAGUGCACAAUACUCGAUACCAAGGUAAA